Molecule: ribosomal RNA, 701 nt
Filed under: Pseudoniphargus sp. 1-Portugal
Lineage: Eukaryota; Metazoa; Arthropoda; Malacostraca; Amphipoda; Allocrangonyctidae
Description: 12S ribosomal RNA
Source: RNAcentral
AUAAUAUAAUUUAUAAUACUAGUUAUUAAAUACUUUAUAAUAAAAAAAAAAUAAAAAAAAAGUAAAAUCAUUGCUUAAAUAUUAAUAUAAAUAUUAUUUUUAUAACUCAUAUGGUAAGUUAGUUAAUUAUUUUUGUAAUGGAGAUAUUUGUUAAAAUUAGUUAAUUUUGUGCCAGCAUCUGCGGUUAGACUAAGAAUUUAGUUAAUAUUUUUUAGUAUUUAUUAGGAAUGAUAAUUUAAGUUAUAAUUUUUGGUGAAAUAGUUGGUUGAAUUCUUAUUAAACUAAUUAAAAUAGUUUUAGUGAAAGUAGGAUUAGAUACCCUGUUAUUUUAACUUUGUUUUUUUCUAAGGAUUAAUGUUAAAUUUAAAAGAUUUGGCGGCUGAAUAAAAUUAAAGGAGUUUGUUUUUUUAUUUGAUAAGACACAUUAUUUUUUACUUAUUUUAUUUAGUAUAUCGUCAUUUAGAUGGUUUAUAAUUAAUUAACUAUCGUAAGGUGUUUAAGAAAAUUAGGUCAAGGUGCAGAGAUAAAUAAGGGUAAAUUAACUACAAUAAUGUAUUAUUAGACUUAUUUUCUUUAAAUUGAAGUUGUAGGUGGAUUUAAUUGUAAUUAAAAUAAUAUGAAAUUUAGUUUAGUGUACAAAUUGCCCGUCAUUCUCUAUGAGACAAGUCGAAACAAAGUAGGGCUAUCGGAAGUUGGGCCUA